RNAcentral lists this ribosomal RNA (490 nucleotides) under uncultured bacterium. Its description in RNAcentral is "partial 16S ribosomal RNA". It matches the Rfam family "Bacterial small subunit ribosomal RNA", at positions 30 to 507 of the family's 1533-position model. The record is from RNAcentral.
AUUGAACGCUGGCGGCAGGCCUAACACAUGCAAGUCGAACGGUAACAGGAAGAAGCUUGCUUCUUUGCUGACGAGUGGCGGACGGGUGAGUAAUGUCUGGGAAACUGCCUGAUGGAGGGGGAUAACUACUGGAAACGGUAGCUAAUACCGCAUAACGUCGCAAGACCAAGGAGGGGGACCUUCGGGCCUCUUGCCAUCGGAUGUGCCCAGAUGGGAUUAGCUAGUAGGUGGGGUAACGGCUCACCUAGGCGACGAUCCCUAGCUGGUCUGAGAGGAUGACCAGCCACACUGGAACUGAGACACGGUCCAGGCUCCUACGGGAGGCAGCAGUGGGGAAUAUUGCACAAUGGGCGCAAGCCUGAUGCAGCCAUGCCGCGUGUAUGAAGAAGGCCUUCGGGUUGUAAAGUACUUUCAGCGGGGAGGAAGGGAGUAAAGUUAAUACCUUUACUCAUUGACGUUACCCGCAGAAGAAGCACCGGCUAACUCCGUG